Equus asinus (donkey) is the source of this 105-nucleotide small nuclear RNA. Lineage: Eukaryota; Metazoa; Chordata; Mammalia; Perissodactyla; Equidae. The record is from Ensembl.
GCGCUCACUUCGGCAGCGCAUAUACUAAAAAUUGGAAUGAUACAGAGAUUAGCAUGACUCCUGGGCAAGGAUGAUGGAGAAAUUUGUGAAGGCUUCCAUAUUUUU